CGGACGGGUGAGGAAUACAUCGGAAUCUACUCUGUCGUGGGGGAUAACGUAGGGAAACUUACGCUAAUACCGCAUACGACCUACGGGUGAAAGCAGGGGAUCUUCGGACCUUGCGCGAUUGAAUGAGCCGAUGUCGGAUUAGCUAGUUGGCGGGGUAAAGGCCCACCAAGGCGACGAUCCGUAGCUGGUCUGAGAGGAUGAUCAGCCACACUGGAACUGAGACACGGUCCAGACUCCUACUGGAGGCAGCAGAC
Molecule: ribosomal RNA, 254 nt
Filed under: uncultured Stenotrophomonas sp.
Lineage: Bacteria; Pseudomonadati; Pseudomonadota; Gammaproteobacteria; Lysobacterales; Lysobacteraceae
Description: partial 16S ribosomal RNA
Rfam family: Bacterial small subunit ribosomal RNA
Source: RNAcentral